Molecule: ribosomal RNA, 477 nt
Filed under: uncultured bacterium
Lineage: Bacteria
Description: partial 16S ribosomal RNA
Rfam family: Bacterial small subunit ribosomal RNA
Source: RNAcentral
GAUUAACGCUGGCGGCGUGCAUAACACAUGCAAGUCGAACGAUGAAACUUAACUGAUUUCUUCGGAAUGAUUUUAAGUGGCUUAGUGGCGGACGGGUGAGUAACGCGUGAGUAACCUGCCUUGGAGAAGGGGAUAGCCUUUGGAAACGAAGAAUAAUACCCUAUGAUAUGAUAAUAUCUCAUGAUAUUAUCAUCAAAGAUUUAUCGCUCUAAGAUGGACUUGCGUCUGAUUAGUUAGUUGGUGAGGUAACAGCUCACCAAGGCAGCGAUCAGUAGCCGGCGUGAGAGAGUGGACGGCCACAUUGGGACUGAGACACGGCCCAGACUCCUACGGGAGGCAGCAGUGGGGAAUUUUGCACAAUGGGUGAAAGCAUGAUGCAGCGACGCCGCGUGAUUUAGAAGGCCUUCGGGUUGUAAAAAUCUUUUGUAUGGGAAGAAAAUGACAGUACCAUACGAAUAAGGACCGGCUAAUUACGUG